This 380-nucleotide ribosomal RNA is filed under the name uncultured eukaryote. RNAcentral's name for it is "partial 18S ribosomal RNA". It matches the Rfam family "Eukaryotic small subunit ribosomal RNA", at positions 592 to 976 of the family's 1831-position model. The record is from RNAcentral.
CAAUGGCGUAUAUUAAAGUUGUUGCGGUUAAAAAGCUCGUAGUUGGAUUUCUGCCGAGGACGUCCGGUCCACCCUCUGGGUGUGUACAUGGCACGGCCUGGGCAUCUUCUUGGGGUACGUAUCUGCACUUGACUGUGUGGUGCGGAAUCCAGGACUUUUACUUUGAGGAAAUUAGAGUGUUUCAAGCAGGCACGCGCCUUGAAUACAUUAGCAUGGAAUAAUAAGAUAGGACCUCGGUUCUAUUUUGUUGGUUUCUAGAGCUGAGGUAAUGAUUAAUAGGGAUAGUUGGGGGCAUUCGUAUUUAACUGUCAGAGGUGAAAUUCUUGGAUUUGUUGAAGACGGACUACUGCGAAAGCAUUUGCCAAGGAUGUUUUCAUUGA